Molecule: non-coding RNA, 21 nt
Filed under: Caenorhabditis elegans
Lineage: Eukaryota; Metazoa; Nematoda; Chromadorea; Rhabditida; Rhabditidae
Source: RNAcentral
UGACUAAUACAGGAAGUACGG